RNAcentral lists this ribosomal RNA (554 nucleotides) under uncultured ciliate. RNAcentral's name for it is "SSU rRNA". It matches the Rfam family "Eukaryotic small subunit ribosomal RNA", at positions 4 to 565 of the family's 1831-position model. Lineage: Eukaryota; Ciliophora. The record is from RNAcentral.
CUGGUUGAUCCUGCCAGUAGUCAUACGCUUGUCUCAAAGAUUAAGCCAUGCAUGUCUAAGUAUAAGUAUUAUACAGCGAAACUGCGAAUGGCUCAUUAAAACAGUUAUGGUUUAUUUGAUAAUCGAAUUUUACAUGGAUAACCGUGGUAAUUCUAGAGCUAAUACAUGCUGGUGUGCCUGACUUUUCGGAAGGGCGGUAUUUAUUAGAUAACGAACCAAUAUUCCUCUGGUCUAUUGUGGUGAAUCAUAAUAACUGAUCGAAUCGCAAAGCCUUUGGCUGCGAUAUGUCAUUCAAGUUUCUGCCCCAUCAGCUUUCGAUGGUAGUGUAUUGGACUACCAUGGCUUUUACGGGUAACGGAGAAUUAGGGUUCGAUUCCGGAGAGGGAGCCUGAGAAACGGCUACCACAUCUAAGGAAGGCAGCAGGCGCGUAAAUUACCCAAUCCUGACUCAGGGAGGUAGUGACAAGAAAUAACGGACCGGCCUUUUAGGCUCGGGAUUGCAAUGAGCCGAAUUUACACCCCUUAGCGAGGACCCAUUGGAGGGCAAGUCUGGU